GACGAGCCAGUGCUCGAAGUCGCAGCCAUCGAGGAGGAUAGUCUCCUUGGGAGGGCGGUUGGACCAGUUGGGGUUGGGAUCGCGGAGCGAGGAGGUGGUGGCGUUGGCGGAGAAGCACCGGACGACGGGGGGAGAGAGCUUGCCGGCGGAGGAGAUGGCGGCGCCGGCGAGGGGGCGGAGGCGGUGGAGGAGGGAGAGGGAGGAGCGGGAGUAGGCGGAGGAGAGGGUGGCGGUGGUGGCGGAGGUGGCGGUGGAGAGGGAGCGGGAGAGGAAGGAGGAGGAGAGAGGGGCUAGGGUUUUGGGGAAGGAGCGAGAGAGGAAAUGGGUCGCCAUGGUUUGAUAAACCCGGAGAUGGAAACUGGG
RNAcentral lists this long non-coding RNA (363 nucleotides) under Fragaria vesca (wild strawberry). RNAcentral describes it as "long non-coding RNA (FVES_LNC001281)". The record is from RNAcentral. Lineage: Eukaryota; Viridiplantae; Streptophyta; Magnoliopsida; Rosales; Rosaceae.